AGUGAACGCUGGCGGUAGGCCUAACACAUGCAAGUCGAACGGCAGCACAGUAAGAGCUUGCUCUUACGGGUGGCGAGUGGCGGACGGGUGAGGAAUACAUCGGAAUCUACUUUUUCGUGGGGGAUAACGUAGGGAAACUUACGCUAAUACCGCAUACGACCUACGGGUGAAAGCAGGGGAUCUUCGGACCUUGCGCGAUUGAAUGAGCCGAUGUCGGAUUAGCUAGUUGGCGGGGUAAAGGCCCACCAAGGCGACGAUCCGUAGCUGGUCUGAGAGGAUGAUCGGCCACACUGGAACUGAGACACGGUCCAGACUACUACGGGAGGCAGCAGUGGGGAAUAUUAGGCAACGGGCGCAAGCCUGAUCCAGCCAUACCGCGUGGGUGAAGAAGGCCUUCGGGUCGUAAAGCCCUUUUGUUGGGAAAGAAAAGCAGUAGGUUAAUACCCCGCUGUUCUGACGGUACCCAAAGAAUAAGCACCGGCUAACUUCGUG
This 492-nucleotide ribosomal RNA is filed under the name uncultured bacterium. RNAcentral's name for it is "partial 16S ribosomal RNA". It matches the Rfam family "Bacterial small subunit ribosomal RNA", at positions 29 to 507 of the family's 1533-position model. The record is from RNAcentral.